This 468-nucleotide ribosomal RNA is filed under the name uncultured bacterium. RNAcentral describes it as "partial 16S ribosomal RNA". It matches the Rfam family "Bacterial small subunit ribosomal RNA", at positions 28 to 507 of the family's 1533-position model. The record is from RNAcentral.
GACGAACGCUGGCGGCGUGCUUAACACAUGCAAGUCGAACGGAAAGGCCCUGCUUUUGUGGGGUGCUCGAGUGGCGAACGGGUGAGUAACACGUGAGUAACCUGCCCUUGACUUUGGGAUAACUUCAGGAAACUGGGGCUAAUACCGGAAAGGAGCUCCUGCUGCAUGGUGGGGGUUGGAAAGUUUCGGCGGUGGGGGAUGGACUCGCGGCUUAUCAGCUUGUUGGUGGGGUAGUGGUUUACCAAGGCUUUGAAGGGUAGCCGGCAUGGGAAGGUGACUGGCCACAUCGAGACUAAAUAACGGCCCAGCCUCCAACGGGAGGCAGCAGGGGAGAAUAUUGCACAAUGGGCGGAAGCCUGAUACAACAACGCCGCGUGCGGGAUGACGGCCUUCGGGUAGUAAACCGCUUUCGCUUGUGACGAAGCGUGAGUGACGGUAAUGGGUAAAGAAGCACCGGCUAACUCCGUG